Molecule: ribosomal RNA, 430 nt
Filed under: uncultured bacterium
Lineage: Bacteria
Description: partial 16S ribosomal RNA
Rfam family: Bacterial small subunit ribosomal RNA
Source: RNAcentral
GUGGGGAAUAUUGCACAAUGGGCGCAAGCCUGAUGCAGCAACGCCGCGUGAGGGAUGACGGCCUUCGGGUUGUAAACCUCUUUUAGCAAGGAAGAAGCGAAAGUGACGGUACUUGCAGAAAAAGCGCCGGCUAACUACGUGCCAGCAGCCGCGGUAAUACGUAGGGCGCAAGCGUUGUCCGGAAUUAUUGGGCGUAAAGAGCUCGUAGGCGGUUGGUCGCGUCUGCUGUGAAAACCCGAGGCUCAACCUCGGGCCUGCAGUGGGUACGGGCAGACUAGAGUGCGGUAGGGGAGAAUGGAACUCCUGGUGUAGCGGUGGAAUGCGCAGAUAUCAGGAAGAACACCGAUGGCGAAGGCAGUUCUCUGGGCCGUAACUGACGCUGAGGAGCGAAAGCGUGGGGAGCAAACAGGAUUAGAAACCCGAGUAGUCC